Molecule: small nucleolar RNA, 130 nt
Organism: Pipistrellus kuhlii (Kuhl's pipistrelle)
Lineage: Eukaryota; Metazoa; Chordata; Mammalia; Chiroptera; Vespertilionidae
Product: small nucleolar RNA SNORA11
Exons: 1
Source: RefSeq, a predicted model, not a curated record
AGGGUGUGAAGAGAGAGCAGAGCGCCCGAAGAAUGGCUCCUCUGUGAAUAACACACCAACAGCAACUUGGGCCUAUUCUUCACGGGUGGCAGGAUACUGUGGCCUUCCUGUGAUAUUACACCCUAUACAA